GACGAACGCUGGCGGCGUGCUUAACACAUGCAAGUCGAACGGAAAGGCCCUGCUUUUGUGGGGUGCUCGAGUGGCGAACGGGUGAGUAACACGUGAGUAACCUGCCCUUGACUUUGGGAUAACUUCAGGAAACUGGGGCUAAUACCGGAUAGGAGCUCCUGCUGCAUGGUGGGGGUUGGAAAGUUUCGGCGGUUGGGGAUGGACUCGCGGCUUAUCAGCUUGUUGGUGGGGUAGUGGCUUACCAAGGCUUUGACGGGUAGCCGGCCUGAGAGGGUGACCGGCCACAUUGGGACUGAGAUACGGCCCAGACUCCUACGGGAGGCAGCAGUGGGGAAUAUUGCAUAAUGGGCGGAAGCCUGAUGCAGCAACGCCGCGUGCGGGAUGACGGCCUUCGGGUUGUAAACCACUUUCGCCUGUGACGAAGCGUGAGUGACGGUAAUGGGUAAAGAAGCACCGGCUAACUACGUG
Molecule: ribosomal RNA, 468 nt
Filed under: uncultured bacterium
Lineage: Bacteria
Description: partial 16S ribosomal RNA
Rfam family: Bacterial small subunit ribosomal RNA
Source: RNAcentral